UGGGGAAUAUUGGACAAUGGGCGCAAGCCUGAUCCAGCCAUGCCGCGUGAGUGACGAAGGCCUUAGGGUUGUAAAGCUCUUUUGGCGGGGAAGAUAAUGACGGUACCCGCAGAAUAAGCUCCGGCUAACUUCGUGCCAGCAGCCGCGGUAAUACGUAGGGACCAAGCGUUGUUCGGAUUUACUGGGCGUAAAGGGCGCGUAGGCGGCAAUUCAAGUCAUCUGUGAAAUCUCCGGGCUUAACUCGGAACGGUCAGAUGAUACUGCUUUGCUAGAGUGCAGAAGGGGCAAUCGGAAUUCUUGGUGUAGCGGUGAAAUGCGUAGAUAUCAAGAGGAACACCUGAGGUGAAGACGGGUUGCUGGGCUGACACUGACGCUGAGGCGCGAAAGCCAGGGGAGCAAACGGGAUUAGAUACCCUCGUAGUCCCUGAGCGGGCUGGCAAGGCGCAU
RNAcentral lists this ribosomal RNA (447 nucleotides) under uncultured bacterium. RNAcentral's name for it is "bacterial SSU rRNA". It matches the Rfam family "Bacterial small subunit ribosomal RNA", at positions 355 to 825 of the family's 1533-position model. The record is from RNAcentral.